This 75-nucleotide transfer RNA is filed under the name Sediminitomix flava. It matches the Rfam family "tRNA". Rfam says of the family: Transfer RNA (tRNA) molecules are approximately 80 nucleotides in length. Their secondary structure includes four short double-helical elements and three loops (D, anti-codon, and T loops). Further hydrogen bonds mediate the characteristic L-shaped molecular structure. tRNAs have two regions of fundamental functional importance: the anti-codon, which is responsible for specific mRNA codon recognition, and the 3' end, to which the tRNAs corresponding amino acid is attached (by aminoacyl-tRNA synthetases). tRNAs cope with the degeneracy of the genetic code in two manners: having more than one tRNA (with a specific anti-codon) for a particular amino acid; and 'wobble' base-pairing, i.e. permitting non-standard base-pairing at the 3rd anti-codon position. RNAcentral also lists the same sequence under 8 other names. Lineage: Bacteria; Pseudomonadati; Bacteroidota; Cytophagia; Cytophagales; Flammeovirgaceae. The record is from Rfam by way of RNAcentral.
CGGGGCGUAGCGCAGCCCGGUUAGCGCACCUGGUUUGGGACCAGGGGGUCGCAGGUUCGAAUCCUGCCGCCCCGA